AUAUGGUGGUUCGCAGCUGGUCCGGAGCCGUAAGCCAACGGCUUCGGGGCAAGAGGGAACCCGGUGCGAUUCCGGGACUGCCCCGCAGCGGUGAGUGGAAACGAAAGCCGUCACCAAGCACUGGACGCGAGUCUGGGAAGCGACGGCCGGUAGGCGCGUGGGUCGAGACAGCACAGGUCGCGACCCGCCACGUCCACGAGUCCGAAGACCUGCCAGCGGCCACGCGCACCC
Molecule: non-coding RNA, 231 nt
Filed under: Phycicoccus elongatus
Lineage: Bacteria; Bacillati; Actinomycetota; Actinomycetes; Micrococcales; Intrasporangiaceae
Also listed under: 1 other name
Source: RNAcentral